This 106-nucleotide small nucleolar RNA is filed under the name Jatropha curcas. Its description in RNAcentral is "Plant small nucleolar RNA R71". It matches the Rfam family "Plant small nucleolar RNA R71". From Rfam's summary of the family: R71 is a member of the C/D box family of snoRNAs containing the C (UGAUGA) and D (CUGA) box motifs. Multiple nearly identical copies of this snoRNA have been identified in Arabidopsis, and it is thought to function as a 2'-O-ribose methylation guide for 18S ribosomal RNA. The record is from Rfam by way of RNAcentral. Lineage: Eukaryota; Viridiplantae; Streptophyta; Magnoliopsida; Malpighiales; Euphorbiaceae.
AGGCUAUGAUGUGGGCAUUUCCUUAGUAGGUCCUUGAAUCUCUUCCAAGCUUUAUACAAACUCUCUUGGUCAUGGUGGACAAACUCAUUAUCUCAUUGCAUGGCUU